AAUUGGCAACACCUGCGACUGGAGUGUAACUGUAAAAUGGCGCCCGGUGAAAUCUGAGUGGAAAAUAAAAGGGAAUGUAAUAAAAGAGCACAGAGACAAUUUGUGACUCCAAUGCACAAGAAUAACGCUUCUACGGGCGUGUCCAUCCAAACAGUCAAGUUGGAAGGAAGAAGGUAAAGAGUAGCGAAAAGUAUGGAAGGUUUGUUUGAGGAGCUAGUGAGGCUGAAGGUCCACAGUGUCCCCAGUAUCGGAUGAAGGAGUUCCUGGAGUCCCUGUCCAACAAGCGCUCAGAGGCACUGCAGGAGUUCAACCAGCAGGCAGGUGUUAUCACUACAACCACCACCAUGGUUUACCAGCAGGGGGUCAACUGCAUCUACACAGACGGCAACGAGGUGGCUGGGUCACUGCUGGAACUGUCUGUCUGCAACAGCAGGUGCAGGUGUCCCAGCAGAAGGGGAUGUCAUGACAGCAGCAGCUCUCGCCCCAUAUGACCACUGCCGCAAGGCCAAGACAUAAUACAGCUUUGCGUUACUGGACUGAACAGACCUGGGAUGACCUCAUUAAGCUGGCUGGAGGCACAGUGAAUAAUGCUCAGGCCAUAGUGCCCUCCUUAACAACUAUCACCACAGUGGCAGUGAAUGACUUGCAGACCUUUGGCCCCUCUGACCAGGGUUGUGUUCAAUUGGAGCAAAUGGGAGAAAACACUUUGAAAAUGGAAGAGGUGCCACAUGAAUUUGUCAUUUAGGAACACUGACUUUGGUUUUCUGUUUGAAAAUGUUUUUUUCAAGCUAGGCUUAGUCAUGGUUGACAAACCACUUUUUACAUUGGUUUGUCAACCAUUGGUCUCAGCCAUUGGUCCAGCUAGGCAGGGUAGUAAUACUGUGCUGUCUACGGGACAGCCCCUCGGAAACACAGACACACUCACUAUCAACACUCUACCACACACGCAACAGACAGACGAUUAAACUUGGAAUUAGCCUAAAUCUCUCGACCAAUGGCUGAGACUAAUGGUGUUACAUUAAAAUAGAUGACGAUCUCGGCCUCACCUGUCGUAAGUGAAUGAUGGUGAUGAAAUAAUCUGGACCCCGUUUACGAGACACUGUGGUAAACUUUACCACUCAGUACUCGUCACACAGCACCUGGAGUAACAUGGUCUAACUAAUAGAAGUAGAGAAACGACUGCAUGCUGUGUUAGCGGAAUCAGAAUUCUUUAGGUAACAUUGAUAAAUAAGAUGUUUUAUCAAUGUUCAUAAGUAUGCUUAUGUGGGAAAAGUUACUUGGGCCCCAGAGAGGGGAGAGGUCAGGCUUGUCUUCUUAUGGGAAUGUGUCUAACUAUUACUUGUCCCCUCAGGUUGCCUUUCUCUUGAUUUAGUAUAUGUCCUAGGAGGCUCACUGUCUCUGAGCUUGUCCAGGAGGGGUUGUAUUUUUGUUGGGAGUGUCUAGUAUUGAUAUAUGCCAUUGGAUGAGGUAAAGUUUUGGUUCUAAGUGGUACCAAGAAUGAGAAGAACUUAGUUUAGGAGACCAAACUGAAUAAUUUAUAGCCAAUGCUGUCUGGCUAUGUGUGUCUUUGCUAUAAAUGAUCUGUUGCCAUUAUGUAAGCACUCUCAGAAUUCAUUUAUGGACACAAUUGAUCUGAGUCACAGGGCUAUGGUGAAGCUCAUAUAAUUAAAGAUGGACUUUAUGAUAACUCUGACUUGUGUGUGGUUUGCUCUCUCAUGAUUUGGUAAUACAGGAAAUUUCCACGACAAUGCACAGCAGGAAAUGUGACACUUCUGACACAUUUUGCUAGAUACACCCAUACUCUGUGCAGCACCCAAACCAAGUGGCAAGAAUAUGCUUAUGAAGAUUCUUCCUAAAUUCAUGGGCAGCAUUCUGAGCAAUGUGAAACCAGAAGAACUAUGCACGUCUAUUGGUCGAACUUGAUGCUGUGAAUGUAAUCAACAUAUUACCCAUGAAGAUUUUCUACAUUUUGAUUAUUGUUCAGUGUCCAAUCACCAUCAAAUCCAUCACUCACCAUGUC
Molecule: long non-coding RNA, 2020 nt
Organism: Oncorhynchus tshawytscha (Chinook salmon)
Lineage: Eukaryota; Metazoa; Chordata; Actinopteri; Salmoniformes; Salmonidae
Exons: 4
Source: RefSeq, a predicted model, not a curated record